UGAGGAUGCUGAGAAAGUAUGAAUAGCUUCUU
This 32-nucleotide non-coding RNA is filed under the name Homo sapiens (human). The record is from RNAcentral. Lineage: Eukaryota; Metazoa; Chordata; Mammalia; Primates; Hominidae.